AUUGAACGCUGGCGGCAGGCUUAACACAUGCAAGUCGAGCGGGGUGAUGGUUCUUGCACUAUCACUUAGCGGCGGACGGGUGAGUAAUGCUUAGGAAUCUGCCUAUUAGUGGGGGACAACAUCUCGAAAGGGACUCUAAUACCGCAUACUUCCUACGGUAGAAAGCAGGGGAUCACUUGUUACCCUGCGCCAAUAGAUGAGCCUAAGUCGGAUUAGCUAGUUGGUGGGGUAAAGGCCUACCAAGGCGACGAUCUGUAGCGGGUCUGAGAGGAUGAUCCGCCACACUGGGACUGAGACACGGCCCAGACUCCUACGGGAGGCAGCAGUGGGGAAUAUUGGACAAUGGGGGGGAACCCUGAUCCAGCCAUGCCGCGUGUGUGAAGAAGGCCUUAUGGUUGUAAAGCACUUUAAGCGAGGAGGAGGCUCUUUUGGUUAAUACCCAAGAUGAGUGGACGUUACUCGCAGAAUAAGCACCGGCUAACUCUGUGCCAGCAGCCGCCGUAA
Molecule: ribosomal RNA, 504 nt
Filed under: uncultured bacterium
Lineage: Bacteria
Description: partial 16S ribosomal RNA
Rfam family: Bacterial small subunit ribosomal RNA
Source: RNAcentral